GUUUAAAUAGCUUAAAAUUUAAAGCUUUUUAUUGAAGAUAAAAUAAUGAUUUAAUUAAAUCUUUAAACA
RNAcentral lists this transfer RNA (69 nucleotides) under Neostromboceros nipponicus. RNAcentral describes it as "tRNA-Phe". The record is from RNAcentral. Lineage: Eukaryota; Metazoa; Arthropoda; Insecta; Hymenoptera; Tenthredinidae.